GGGCGUUGCAUGGACUGUGAUCUGCAUGACUUGCAGUUGGAAGUGAGGAUCUAGGCAGUGAGCAGCAGCGCUCUGAUAACUUGCCAGAUCUAACUCUUCCAGCUCAAGGUCUUGUUGAUUAUCAUCUCCCAAACGA
Molecule: non-coding RNA, 136 nt
Organism: Apis mellifera (honey bee)
Lineage: Eukaryota; Metazoa; Arthropoda; Insecta; Hymenoptera; Apidae
Source: RefSeq, marked provisional